Molecule: ribosomal RNA, 475 nt
Filed under: uncultured organism
Description: partial 16S ribosomal RNA
Rfam family: Bacterial small subunit ribosomal RNA
Source: RNAcentral
ACACUCUACGGGAGGCAGCAGUGGGGAAUUUUGGACAAUGGGCGAAAGCCUGAUCCAGCAAUGCCGCGUGUGUGAAGAAGGCCUUCGGGUUGUAAAGCACUUUUGUCCGGAAAGAAAUCCUUGGCUCUAAUACAGUCGGGGGAUGACGGUACCGGAAGAAUAAGCACCGGCUAACUACGUGCCAGCAGCCGCGGUAAUACGUAGGGUGCGAGCGUUAAUCGGAAUUACUGGGCGUAAAGCGUGCGCAGGCGGUUUGCUAAGACCGAUGUGAAAUCCCCGGGCUCAACCUGGGAACUGCAUUGGUGACUGGCAGGCUAGAGUAUGGCAGAGGGGGGUAGAAUUCCACGUGUAGCAGUGAAAUGCGUAGAGAUGUGGAGGAAUACCGAUGGCGAAGGCAGCCCCCUGGGCCAAUACUGACGCUCAUGCACGAAAGCGUGGGGAGCAAACAGGAUUAGAAACCCGAGUAGUCCCAUGA